GUAGAUAUAGUUUAGUUAAAAUCUUAGGUUGUGGCGCUGAAGUCAGGGGUUAAAAUCCUCUUAUCUACA
Molecule: transfer RNA, 69 nt
Filed under: Crossorhombus kobensis (Kobe flounder)
Lineage: Eukaryota; Metazoa; Chordata; Actinopteri; Pleuronectiformes; Bothidae
Description: tRNA-His
Rfam family: tRNA
About the family: Transfer RNA (tRNA) molecules are approximately 80 nucleotides in length. Their secondary structure includes four short double-helical elements and three loops (D, anti-codon, and T loops). Further hydrogen bonds mediate the characteristic L-shaped molecular structure. tRNAs have two regions of fundamental functional importance: the anti-codon, which is responsible for specific mRNA codon recognition, and the 3' end, to which the tRNAs corresponding amino acid is attached (by aminoacyl-tRNA synthetases). tRNAs cope with the degeneracy of the genetic code in two manners: having more than one tRNA (with a specific anti-codon) for a particular amino acid; and 'wobble' base-pairing, i.e. permitting non-standard base-pairing at the 3rd anti-codon position.
Source: RNAcentral